UACGAAGGGGGCUAGCGUUGCUCGGAAUCACUGGGCGUAAAGCGCACGUAGGCGGAUUGUUAAGUCAGGGGUGAAAUCCUGGAGCUCAACUCCAGAACUGCCUUUGAUACUGGCGAUCUCGAGUCCGGGAGAGGUGAGUGGAACUCCGAGUGUAGAGGUGAAAUUCGUAGAUAUUCGGAAGAACACCAGUGGCGAAGGCGGCUCACUGGCCCGGUACUUGACGCUGAGGUGCGAAAGCGUGGGGAGCAAACAGG
Molecule: ribosomal RNA, 254 nt
Filed under: uncultured bacterium
Lineage: Bacteria
Description: partial 16S ribosomal RNA
Rfam family: Bacterial small subunit ribosomal RNA
Source: RNAcentral